CAAUAGCGUAUAUUAAAGUUGUUGCAGUUAGAACGCUCGUAGUCGGAUUUCGGGGCAGUCCGACCGGUCUGCCGAUGGGUAUGCACUGGCCGGAGUGUCCUUUUUGCCGGAGACCGUGCCUACUCUUAACUGAGCGGGGGCGGGAGACGGCACUUUUGCUUUGAAAAAAUCAGAGUGUUUCAAGCAGGCAGCUCGCUCUUGCAUGGAUUAGCAUGGGAUAAUGAAAUAGGACUUUGGUGCUAUUUUGUUGGUUUCGAACACCGAAGUAAUGAUGAGAAGGGACAGUCAGGGGCACUCGUAUUCCGCAGAGAGAGGUGAAAUUCUCAGACCCGCGGAAGACGAACCACUGCGAAAGCAUUUGCCAGGGAUGUUUUCACUGA
This 380-nucleotide ribosomal RNA is filed under the name uncultured eukaryote. RNAcentral describes it as "partial 18S ribosomal RNA". It matches the Rfam family "Eukaryotic small subunit ribosomal RNA", at positions 592 to 976 of the family's 1831-position model. The record is from RNAcentral.